AGAGCCACUUACCCAAGUGAACACAACAACAACAUACUGUGACAAGAAUUCUCUAAAAACCAACAUUUAUUGGUUGCCUACUAUAUAUAGUAGGCAGUAUCAUAUCAUAUAUGUUGAUAGUGAUACACUGAUACAUAUAAAAUGCAGUUCUAAUUGAAGCACAAAGUACAAGAUAACAAAGAGUACAGUAUAUAGUACAUAGUAUAGGGAUAUUAUAUACUAUAUUGCCAAAGUUCCUUCGAGAACUUGAUUCACACACAAAGUGAAGUGAGUUUGAGGAAUUAAUUGGAAAAUGCCAAAGGAUGGAAGUUGCCCUUUUCGAGGGAAUUCGCCCUUAAGAAGGACGGUUCGUCAUUCCCAGCAAUCUUUUAACUUAUUACAUAUUCUUUCUCCACCAUGAUUGAACCAAAAGGAAACAUUGACAAAAACGCACCAUCUAUGAAUCUCCACCACCUCCACUACCACAGAGGGCAGCGAGGGUUAUUCGAGAAGGGGGUGCAGUUUGGAGAGGGUUCGAGAAUGAAUGUUGGGUUGGGAGUUAUAGAAUGAAAGUGUGAGAUGACUUAUGUAUAUAAUAGCUAGUCUAGCUAGUGUGAGGGGGUGGCUUUUUGUCUAAGGUAACAUAAAUAAAACAGAAACAUGGCGAAAUGGAGAUUCUCAAUUCAGCAUCAUCUAA
This 676-nucleotide long non-coding RNA is filed under the name Glycine max (soybean). RNAcentral's name for it is "long non-coding RNA (GMAX_LNC000675)". The record is from RNAcentral. Lineage: Eukaryota; Viridiplantae; Streptophyta; Magnoliopsida; Fabales; Fabaceae.